RNAcentral lists this transfer RNA (69 nucleotides) under Boreoheptagyia zhengi. RNAcentral describes it as "tRNA-Ser". Lineage: Eukaryota; Metazoa; Arthropoda; Insecta; Diptera; Chironomidae. The record is from RNAcentral.
AGUUAAUGAGCUUGAAUAAGCGUAUGUUUUGAAAACAUAAUAUAGAAAUUUUUAAUUUUCUAUUGACUU